RNAcentral lists this long non-coding RNA (588 nucleotides) under Nicotiana benthamiana. Its description in RNAcentral is "long non-coding RNA (NBEN_LNC023264)". Lineage: Eukaryota; Viridiplantae; Streptophyta; Magnoliopsida; Solanales; Solanaceae. The record is from RNAcentral.
UGUUGAGUGGCUACUCGGUCUUGGUCCCAGUCUAGGCAUUGUACGGGUUCGUGGCAUUGGCCUCAUACACACUGAGCUUGUAUCCGGAAUCCCAGCAAUCUUUUCACACUUUGUUACCAAUCUUCCGGCAUUCCACCAGAUCUUAGUAUUCCUUUGUGUCAAAUCUGUCCCAGUUCCUCAUGUUAAACAUGAGGAGCGUUUCCUGGUGGGACACAUUGGCCCAGGAGAGUUCCGCAUGUACAGGUGCAUUGUCAGGUAUGGUCUUAGUUUUCCUUUGUGUCAAAUCUGUCCCAGUUCCUCAUGUUAAACAUGAGGAGCGUUUCCUGGUUGGACACAUUGGCCCAAGAGAGUACCGCAUGUACAGGUGCAUUGUCAGGUAUGGUUAUCGCGAUGCUCACAAGGAUGAUUCAGAAUUCGAGAAUGAUCUUGUAUGUAGCAUAGCAGAGUUUAUACGGACAGGAAGGACAGGGUUGAAUGUUAACGGUGAAGAUCUUAGAAAGGAUUUUGAGGACCUCAUCGUUGUUGGAACCCCUUCGACUCAUUUAUCAGGAGUUCAACUUUGCGACGAUGAGGAUGUAAAUGCUGAAU